RNAcentral lists this ribosomal RNA (253 nucleotides) under uncultured bacterium. Its description in RNAcentral is "partial 16S ribosomal RNA". It matches the Rfam family "Bacterial small subunit ribosomal RNA", at positions 524 to 776 of the family's 1533-position model. The record is from RNAcentral.
UACAGAGGUGGCAAGCGUUGUUCGGAAUUACUGGGCGUAAAGGGCGCGUAGGCGGCCAGGUCAGUCCCGUGUGAAAUCCCUCGGCUCAACUGAGGAACUGCACGGGAAACUGCCUGGCUUGAGUUCGGGAGAGGGAAGCGGAAUUCCGGGUGUAGCGGUGAAAUGCGUAGAUAUCCGGAGGAACACCGGUGGCGAAGGCGGCUUCCUGGACCGACACUGACGCUGAGGCGCGAAAGCUAGGGGAGCAAACGGG